CAACCGAGGAUAAAUCAGUAACUUACCCUCUUGAACACAAUUAUUUUGCUUAAGACCGGUUCUCCACCAAACGGAAUUCCUCAAACAAAACCGCAAAUAAAUGAUGAUUGUUUUCAUCUCAACCGCAUGAUCCACAAUCUCACUGCAAAAAAUCAGCCUCACCUGCGUUCUAGUAUAUAAUCCAAACGCGGUUUUGUUGGGAGAUUAUAUCCAAACGCAGUUUCUACUCAAAAGAAAAAUCCAAACGCCGUCUUCACAGUCAUCUAUCACCAUUCCCUUCCAUUUCCGACUCCAACAAAAACCGUUCCUUCCGUUUUAAUUCCCCGUUAGUUACGUCGACGUGUCACUCUCUCGUUUGAUCACAUAACGGCGCCGUCAAAUUCCCCGUUUUGAGAUUCCCCCGUCACUAUUAACGGAGACUGGACCACACUACCACCACCAAGAGUCCCACGCCACUACGAAAAAGCAAAUAUCCAAUCCUAACCGUUGAAUCUUUCGUCAUUAUCAUCGCAAAAAAAUUCGUCGACACGCGCGUAACAACACUCUCUCUCACGCGCCACAUUUUUACCCUUUCUCUCUCUUACAUUAACAAAACCAGAAAAAACUCAGAAAACACCAACACCUGAAAAGUGAGAGAGAGUGAGUGAGGUGUGUAGAAUAAGAAUUACAGUCUCAGAAGAACGUACUUGCAUAGUUUCAUCAAUGGUGAUGGCUCAGGUAGGUGUCAGAACACGAGCUCGAGCCGCAUUAGCCAUGGAAGCCACAAGUUCACCUCCACGAACUACAAAGAGAAGAAAGAUCAACAGAACCGAAAACCGUAAAUUCUCAACCGUCAAACCGAAGAUAGCGACGGUUAGGCCGGAAACGGUAACGGAGAAACAUUCCUCCGGUUCUACCUCCGAUGAAGAAUUUCCGGCAUCGUGUUGUUCAAGCAACGGAUCCGUUGAACUCGAUGAAGAAAGGAUCAAAUCGUUAGAUCUGGAGGUGGAGAGCGCGCAAGGUGAAACGUCGACGUGCAAUUGCGAUGAAGAAAUUGAGAGGAGAGAGAUGAGUCGUUCAAGCGAGUUUCGAGGAAAUUCUCACGAGCUUGAGUCAAUGGAGACCAAUUCUCGCCGUCCGAUUUCAUCUCCCAAAAAGACGCCAACGGAAUACGAGCUUGAGGAAUUUUUCGCUGCUGCUGAGAAAGACAUUCAGAAAAAAUUUCAAGAAAAGUAUAAUUAUGAUAUUCUGAAGGACGUUCCGUUGGAAGGACGCUACGAGUGGGUUCAGUUGAAGCCAUGAACAUUAACGCUGUGAAACUCUUCGAAUUUGCCACUUUGCUGACAUUUUUCUUACUUUUUUUAGUUUAGGGACACGGUGAAUAACGUGUAAGUUACGGGCACGUGUUUGAGAGGGUGGAAAAGUUCCCAUGUGAAAAGAGUCUUCCAAUCUUGGAACCAAAUCCAUUCUACUUUCACAAAGUACAACAAAAUUGGUAUAGUAGUGAAAAAAAGGAAUAUUUGUUAUUGUUAUUUCAGCAUAUAAUUCUUUCACUCUUUUAUCCAAUUUCUUUAGACUCUAUUUGGUUACAUUAUUUAUUUAUAAAUUCAGCUGCUUAAUUUAAUUGGUUCUUUUGCA
RNA transcript from Lathyrus oleraceus (garden pea), 1617 nucleotides. It is a transcript of the gene named cyclin-dependent kinase inhibitor 7, with no coding region annotated. The record is from RefSeq and is a predicted model, not a curated record. Lineage: Eukaryota; Viridiplantae; Streptophyta; Magnoliopsida; Fabales; Fabaceae. The transcript is spliced from 5 exons.